This 492-nucleotide ribosomal RNA is filed under the name uncultured bacterium. RNAcentral's name for it is "partial 16S ribosomal RNA". It matches the Rfam family "Bacterial small subunit ribosomal RNA", at positions 29 to 507 of the family's 1533-position model. The record is from RNAcentral.
AGUGAACGCUGGCGGUAGGCCUAACACAUGCAAGUCGAACGGCAGCACAGUAAGAGCUUGCUCUUACGGGUGGCGAGUGGCGGACGGGUGAGGAAUACAUCGGAAUCUACUUUUUCGUGGGGGAUAAUGUAGGGAAACUUACGCUAAUACCGCAUACGACCUACGGGUGAAAGCAGGGGAUCUUCGGACCUUGCGCGAUUGAAUGAGCCGAUGUCGGAUUAGCUAGUUGGCGGGGUAAAGGCCCACCAAGGCGACGAUCCGUAGCUGGUCUGAGAGGAUGAUCAGCCACACUGGAACUGAGACACGGUCCAGACUCCUACGGGAGGCAGCAGUGGGGAAUAUUGGACAAAGGGCGCAAGCCUGAUCCAGCCAUACCGCGUGGGUGAAGAAGGCCUUCGGGUUGUAAAGCCCUUUUGUUGGGAAAGAAAAGCAGCAGGUUAAUACCCCGCUGUUCUGACGGUACCCAAAGAAUAAGCACCGGCUAACUUCGUG